This 72-nucleotide transfer RNA is filed under the name subsurface metagenome. RNAcentral's name for it is "tRNA-His". It matches the Rfam family "tRNA". From Rfam's summary of the family: Transfer RNA (tRNA) molecules are approximately 80 nucleotides in length. Their secondary structure includes four short double-helical elements and three loops (D, anti-codon, and T loops). The record is from RNAcentral.
GUGGCUAUGGUGUAAUAGCAGCACUAGGAUCUGUGGAGUCCUCGGAGGCGGUGCAAGUCCGCUUAGCCACCC